AAGUAAGCAUGUCAAUUGAAACAUAUGUAGUAAUUUAUUUAAUAAAAGAAAAAAAAAUAAAUAAAUAAAUAAAUAAAUAUUCAACUAAAGAUGGAGAGAUGCGCUGCACAGUUGAUUAUUUUGCAUCACUUGCCAAAGAUGAACACUACUACUACUACUAAUAAAACCUGUACUCAGAAGGCACUUUGAUAAUAAGCUCAUGUACUGUAACUAGAUACCUUUAUUAUAAUUUAUUGCAAUUUAGCCAUAACAGUUAAUCUGUUACAGUGUGGAUUAAUUAUGUCCUUUGUAAUUAGUUAUGUCCCAUUUUUGUUGAUAAAUGUUUGUGGAUUGAUGGAUGGAUAGGUACGUAGGUAGAUAAGCAGCAGGAAAUUAUGUAAUGACGCGCCAGAUAUAACAAAGCAGUUUUUUUUCUGCACUCAUGACCUUAACCGAGGAUAUUUUUAUAAAAAAAAAAAAAAAAAAAGGACAUUUCAGGAUGUUCUUUUACACAGGAUACAGGAAAUGAAGGAUGAAAAGUGGCCUGCUUAUUAAUUGGUGUUUUUAUGCAUUUGGACAUCCUACAGGAGUGUGUAAUUCUCACCAGUUUAGUGCAGGUCAUAAAAUCCUCCAUUGCCACGCUUCAAAGACAUGGUUUACUUUUUACUUGUUUUGCAUACUGCAGAAGGAUUUAAGCUAUUUACAAAUUUUUUGCAGUUAAUCGGUGCAAGAUCUGUCAAAAUAUUGAACAAAUAAAGUAAUGAACAUUAACGAUAAGGAACAAUAAUCCGAGGAAAAUUAAUCUCUUCAGAGAUUCAUAGUCUUCAACAAUAGUAAUCAAAAAUGUUUGCAUAAAAAUAUAAUUAACAUCCUUAAUUCUAUUGUUAUCAUUUACCACCAAAUAAUUAACAAAUAUUGAACUGACGUUUGGACAGAAACGUACAUAAAAUGUAGAGAGCACAACUGCCAAUGCUGUCGGAGUCGGAGGGCCAAACCAAUUAUAGGUUAUCUGUGAGAAAGAGGUUGUAUAGUACUUUCUUCUGAGUGUGUAUACUUUAUGCACAGUACUUUCACACCACCCUGUGAAAUAGCAGGAGCAGCAAUUUUACAAGAUGUGAUUGGCUUCAUCUACCCCAGGUCACAUGUCUCAAAUGGUUGGUAGUUGUAUGAUAUGAAGAGAAGAUUUGACUUGAUAGGUCUGAUGUAUUGAAGCUCUACCCAGGUCCAGGUUACAGAAACUUUUUUCCCAACAAAGUACAUGUUUUAUUAAAACUAAAUCAGUUAUUCAACGGGUAAAAAAGAUUUGAUAAAGAAAAGUAUAAAGUCUGGUGAAUUUCAUUUCAUAUUUGUGGUGUAACUGAAUUCAAAAUAAAUGCCUUUGAGUUUGUGAGUGGUAUGUGUGUGUCUGUCUGUCUGCCUCAAAAUGGAGUCACAUUUCUUGGUGUUCUGAUGUGGAGGUCACAUAUAGCUGUAUAGGUAUUUCCCGGCAUGUGAACAGACUUUGUACUCCAUAUAGCCCCCUCGUCUCCUGACACAUCAAUAGAUAGAAUUCAGAACAAUUUACACCAGCCCACAUGUAUGAAAUGUUAUGAAUAGUUAGUUAUGAUGAUAAACAGGUGACAUAUCUUUCAUAUCUGAACAUUCUGACACAUCCUAUGUGAAACUAUUUAAGCUGGAUGUUCCCUUCAUUGCUCUUUAAUUUAUGGAGAAACUGAUCUCUUUCUGGAGCUUGGAUUAUGUAUUCUGGAUAUGACAGAAUGACUAAAUAUGACUGAUGAAUGAUAAAUGGACUAGUAAGUGUGUACAGUUUUGUUUUUUUAAGUUCCAAAUACAGUAAAAUUCUUGUAGGUGGUUUUUUACACAGACUGCAUGAUGCUGGCUACAUUAGUCAAUAGCCGUGUCCAAUAUGACCGUGUCACACACCUCACUUGUAGUGUUGUUUGAUGGCAUUUAGUUUUAUAGUAAAUCUUGUUCUUGCUAUUGCUCUUGGUCGCUUGGUACAUAAUAAAGAAACCACCUACACCCUGGACACAAUGUAUCCUUGGAGUAAUAAAGAAUAAUUAUCUCUUUCAUUUAUAUUUUAUAUCUGUAUGCAGUUAUAUUUUGGAUGGUGAUGUUUUGGCUAGAAAGAUUAAAAAUAGUAAAACCCACAUUGGGGACAAUGAACUAAAACCAUCACUUUCAGACUGGAUUCUGGGACAUUUCACAGUUUUUUUUUUUUUUAGAUUGUGCUAAAGCAGUUGUACUUUUGCCUCUUCCAAUGCCUCAUUUUAGACCAUGCAACACCCAUAUCAGCCCAACAUUUCCCUAAUCAUAAGUAAGUUUAUUAAAUAUUUUAGAUCACAAUAAAAUUUAUACACAACUGUAACAGGAGUGCAGUAUAUAUAGGAUUCUAAACUGUGUUUCUUUCCUGAUUUUCUCUUUUUUUUUCCUCUUGCUGUCUAGUGUUGCAGGAACUGCAUGCCACUUCUGCAGCUCAGUCUGCAUGCCAGACUGUGUACGUGAGAUUACAGUGAGGACGUGAUGAGAUCUGUACUGUUACUAGGGCAGAGCUCUGUCUGUGUCUGUGUGUGUGUGUGUGUGUGUGUGUGUGUGUGUGUAGUUCACUGUCCUACACUUACUUCAGUGAUGGAAACAUCAUGCACAGUGACAUGCUUUCAAGUCCAAAUAGGGAAAUAUGAAGAUUGUCAUAAUUUUAAAGCUCCAGUUGGAAAACAUCAACAGCAGCCUUUGAACAAUAAGAUAUCAGAAAAAACCUGAGUGCCGAAGAUAGAAUAAACACGUAAACAUAAAACUGAUGAAUAUUUGCAUGAGCUCUGUUUACAAUUUGACAGUGAGGCAUCGUUUAAAGUCUAUUUUCAGUCUUUAUCUGGGUCACUGAUGUGAGCAGCUGUUAGCAAAGCUGCCAGACUGGAUUAUUCUGGAUCAUUCUAAAGACAGCAGUUUACGCUCCAUACCAGGAGGACUGCCAGCUUUUAUGGCAAGAAAUUCUGGACCGAUCAUUUCUACAUUUGUUUAGAAUUAGAUUUUUCUCCUUUUUUUCCUGUAGAUGUAUCCUGUGUUUCGAGGUCUUACUUGCAAUAUGUACUUAUGUUAAUAAUGUGCUUUGUUUGAAAUGUCCUUGUGUUGCUUCCCAUUAGAAAGGCUUUUUAAACCCAAAUUGUGGUUAAAUAUUUCAUUUAAAAUCAAGGCCCAGUGAAUAGUGCAGUAAAUGUAAGAUCUCCCAUGAAGGCAAAUGUUUGAGCUCGGACAUGACACAACAAAUAGAACUGUUAAAUAUAGAACAGGGAAACAGGAGAUGAUAAAGAUUUAGCCUGAUGCAUUUCAACGACAGGACAUCUUUGAAAACAGCAUUACAACAUUUCAUGAGCAACUUCCAAUGCCCUGAGUCACUGAAAAAUAAUAAGAAGUCUCAUAAUUCACCUUUACAGUAACCUAUAAGUUUCAAAAAUAAUAAUAAUAAAGCUUGACAUUCCACAAAAUGCAUCAUUAUAUAAAAACAAAAGAGAAAUGGCAAAACGUUUCCUGUUCUGAAAUAAUCCAGAUGAAUCGAAUAUGCAAAUUGGAAACGCCUCCAACCCUACAUGCCCAGCCCUUUUUGUCUUUUGCAUAACCUGCUUUUAUCACACAGUAAUGCUGUUCUGCUACAUGUUUAGUCUGAUCGUUUUCAAAUGAUUAUAAAAAGCAUUUCAAUAUUAAAGAUGAUGUGAAAGCAGUUAUGAUAGUAUGAUAGUACUUAUAUUAAUUAUUUGAAAUUGUUUAUGUUGCUGUUACAUCAAAUUCAGUGGUAAUGCCCCUGUGCUUUUAAUGCAGAAUGCACAAUGAGAUCUAAUUCUGCCACUGCCAUUAGUUUUUUUUUUUUUCCGAAAAAUGGAAAUAAGCCGUAGAAUUCAUCAAUUUAAUUCUGUCCAAAUAUAACACAUAAACAUUCAGUGGCACAUACACAGAGAACUUAAUUCCUUUUGGCAGUAGUCUUUGAUAAUUUCUCAGUGACAUGAGGACCUGGGAGGUGCUUCAUCAUCAGAGUACUUUUAGGGAGAGAAGUUUUGCAGAGCGCAGUGCGACACAGAGUUCUGCACAAGAUAAGAGAGAAUAGAAAACAAAAGAAGCAAGAAGAUUUCUGUUUCUUAACAACACAUUGAUCUGAGAAGCCUUUUCAGCAGGUAAACAGUCACCUGUCCAGAAGUGUCCCUGCCCCACCCCUCAUCUGGGAGAGAUGGACCGAUCUACACAGGAGCUCUUUCUGAACUUCAUGAUUGUGCUGAUCACAGUUCUGCUCAUGUGGCUGCUUGUCAGAUCCUAUCAGGAGGCAUGAACUGUUCA
Molecule: RNA transcript, 4302 nt
Organism: Hemibagrus wyckioides
Lineage: Eukaryota; Metazoa; Chordata; Actinopteri; Siluriformes; Bagridae
Gene name: sarcolipin
Exons: 2
Source: RefSeq, a predicted model, not a curated record